RNAcentral lists this ribosomal RNA (253 nucleotides) under uncultured bacterium. Its description in RNAcentral is "partial 16S ribosomal RNA". It matches the Rfam family "Bacterial small subunit ribosomal RNA", at positions 524 to 776 of the family's 1533-position model. The record is from RNAcentral.
GACGAACCGUGCAAACGUUAUUCGGAAUCACUGGGCUUAAAGGGCGCGUAGGCGGGCGGUCAAGUCAGGGGUGAAAGCCCCCAGCUCAACUGGGGAAGUGCCUUUGAUACUGGCCAUCUCGAGGGAGGUAGGGGCGUGCGGAACUUCCGGUGGAGCGGUGAAAUGCGUAGAUAUCGGAAGGAACACCGGUGGCGAAAGCGGCGCGCUGGACCUCUUCUGACGCUGAGGCGCGAAAGCCAGGGGAGCAAACGGG